RNAcentral lists this transfer RNA (88 nucleotides) under Verrucomicrobia bacterium IMCC26134. Its description in RNAcentral is "tRNA-Ser (GGA) (tRNA-Ser-GGA-1-1)". It matches the Rfam family "tRNA". From Rfam's summary of the family: Transfer RNA (tRNA) molecules are approximately 80 nucleotides in length. Their secondary structure includes four short double-helical elements and three loops (D, anti-codon, and T loops). The record is from RNAcentral. RNAcentral also lists the same sequence under 6 other names. Lineage: Bacteria; Pseudomonadati; Verrucomicrobiota.
GGAGAGGUGGCAGAGUGGUCGAAUGCGCUCGCUUGGAAAGCGUGUGUAGGGCAACCUACCGAGGGUUCGAAUCCCUCCCUCUCCGCCA